This 28-nucleotide small RNA is filed under the name Bombyx mori (domestic silkworm). RNAcentral's name for it is "ovarian small RNA-9574". Lineage: Eukaryota; Metazoa; Arthropoda; Insecta; Lepidoptera; Bombycidae. The record is from RNAcentral.
UUCCCGUGGCUCUCAGAUGUUCGGCGCC